AACGAACGCUGGCGGCAUGCCUAACACAUGCAAGUCGAACGAAGGCUUCGGCCUUAGUGGCGCACGGGUGCGUAACGCGUGGGAAUCUGCCCUUUGGUUCGGAAUAACAGCUGGAAACGGCUGCUAAUACCGGAUGAUGACGAAAGUCCAAAGAUUUAUCGCCAGAGGAUGAGCCCGCGUUGGAUUAGGUAGUUGGUGGGGUAAAGGCCUACCAAGCCGACGAUCCAUAGCUGGUCUGAGAGGAUGAUCAGCCACACUGGGACUGAGACACGGCCCAGACUCCUACGGGAGGCAGCAGUGGAGAAUAUUGGACAAUGGGCGCAAGCCUGAUCCAGCAAUGCCGCGUGAGUGAUGAAGGCCCUAGGGUUGUAAAGCUCUUUUACCCGGGAAGAUAAUGACUGUACCGGGAGAAUAAGCCCCGGCUAACUCCGUG
This 433-nucleotide ribosomal RNA is filed under the name uncultured bacterium. Its description in RNAcentral is "partial 16S ribosomal RNA". It matches the Rfam family "Bacterial small subunit ribosomal RNA", at positions 29 to 507 of the family's 1533-position model. The record is from RNAcentral.